UUAACUGACAGAACAAUUGUCAAUUACUCGAGUACACGAUCAAUUGAGAUGCGUCAAUCGGUUCUGUCAAUGUGCUUCAAUCAAAUUUCCAAUCAAUCUCGGUCAAUCGCCGUCAAUCGAUUGACAAUCUCAUCAAUUGCUUCCGACACGAUCAAUUAGACGCAUCAAUAGUACCAUUGUCAAUUUUAUUGACAAUAUUAUUGACCGUCUCCGGGCUUAAGAGACGCAUCAAGCAUUUUCGCAAAAGACCGUCAUUAAUCGAAAAGAAACGUUUUAUUAAAAGUAUUAUUCGUGAAAGAACGUCCUAAUUAGUGUUAAGCUAGUGUGUUUUCAAAAAAGAAAUUAUUAUUGUGAAAUUAUUUAAGAGAAAACCGUCACAAUUAGAGUUGUGCCAGCUUGUCCCCAAAAAAACAAGAUGCAGAAACAAAAUAGGUCUUCUUUAAUUUUGAAAUUAACCAAAAAUAAUGUCGAGGUACAUAACAUAGAUCAACCUACAUAUGUGGAAAAUAGAGCAAUUCAUGAGAGAGGAUGAAAAUGAAAAAGAGAUCGAAAUAAGGCAAGACAUUUGCCGUUUAUCGGAAAAUUCUUCAGCACCAUUGAAUGAUAAGUGUGAUUUAGGUACUUUACAAAAUCUGGAAAAAGAACCUAACUGAGAUGAACUCUAUAAUAAUCAAAAUAUUCUUCAUUAGUCGGAAAAUGAUUUGGGUCAUCUAAAUGAUUCAAGUAAAAAUAUUCAAAAUCUAGAAGAAAAAGGGGAAGAGGUUUUUGAUAUUAAUCAGGAUAUUUGCUAUCCACCGCAAAAUUCUGCAUCUCAUUUUAAUGACGAUUAUGAUUUGGAUAAGGAAAAUCCAGAAAAUGGAAAAACAAGAAAUGAACUUUAUAAGAAUCAAGAUGAUGCACCUAGUACUUCCGGAAUAAAUACUGCUAGAAACAUUUUAACUGAAAGAAUUCACAAUUCAGAUACUUCGUCACAAAGUUCCUCCAGCGAUAGUGAACCAUUUGGUUCUUCACACUCAAAUGAUCCUGAUUAUGACGCGAGUUAUGUGAUGCAACCAGGCCAAGAACCUCAGUUGACCCCAUACAUAAUUAUUAUAAUUAUAAAUAUUACUGGCGCAGUCGGUAGGAUCAGUGAUGGAAUUAUUAUUGAACAUCUACUUUUUAAAAAGGAAUAAAUUUAAUUCAAAAUAAAUUCUACACAAAUUUGACCAUCGAUUAACUACAACUUUAUUCGUCGAAAAUUAAUAGAUAAGUGAUUUUAUACAAUGCAAUUUUUAUGGAGCCUAAUAAUAUUAAAAUGCUUAUUUUGUUAAUUCAGGAAUAUUUGUAAUUAUAAUAAUUAUGUAUGGGGUCAACUGAGGUUCUUGGCCUGGUUGCAUCACAUAACUCGCGUCUUCAACUUCAGAAUCAUCAUCAGAAUCAGACACAGAAAAUACCCCUGCAACAUUAACUGAGAAUAUGGAUUCUCCUAAGAAAAUAGGCAGAAAAAGAACUAGAAACUCUGCUGAUUGGAAAAAAAAACGUUGCUAAGCGAUUGCGAAAUAGUGGUCAGAGUUAUCAUUCAAUUAAGGUAACUAACAAAAAUGGAGACAAACAAAGAACACCUUGGUAGAACGAGCGGAAAAGAAAAUGUUACCUCCUUGUACUGACAAGUGCAGAUUAAAAUGCAAAGAGAAAAUCUCUGAAGAAUCUCGAAAGAAAAUUUUUAAAGAAUAUUGGAACCUUAAUGACUUACACCGACAAAGGGGAUUUAUUGCAUCUUCACUGAGUCCUAUAAAUCCCAAAUACUCAAAUUCUAACGGACGACGAGAUUUAAACCACGCUUGUUGUUUCCACUUUGAGGAAAUAAAAAGUAGAGUUUGCAAGCAUUUUUUUAUGUCUACUUUAGGGAUUACUACAAGGACUAUUAGAACUGUGCUUGAAAAUCAAAAAUCCUGUAAAACUGGUGGUAUUAUAGCAGAAGAAUUUAGAGGCAAGCAUACUAGCCACCCAAAAGUUACAAGGAAUUAAAAACCACAUAAACUCAAUUCCUAGAGUCCCGAGUCACUAUACAAGAGCUAACACUGAAGGUUCCAAAACUAUUGCCGAUCUUUAUAGGGACUAUCAGGAUCUGUGUAAGAGCAAACGGUUAAAAUAUGGCUCUUAUCGAACUUACUAUGACGUGUUUAGCCGAAAUUUCAAUCUUGCAUUUUUCUUCCCUAGAAAGGAUCAAUGCGAUCAAUGCGUUGAAUAUGCUAACUCGCGAAAAAUAUGAGACUCACCUGAAAGAAAAAAAUUUAAGUCGUUUAGAAAGGGAGAAGGAUAAAGAAACCAGAACUCAUGUUAUUACUUAUGACUUACAAGCUACUUUACCUUGUCCAUCUGGAAAAGCGUCUUCUUUUUACUAUAUUUCUAAAUUAAAUCUCUAUAAUUUGACUUUUGCUAAUUCAAUUACAAAUGAUGUUUCUUGCUAUGUCUGGCAUGAGGGUGCUGCUAAAAGGGGAGCCAAUGAAAUAGGUUCUUGUGUUUGGAAUUAUUUAGAACAACUAGAUGACAAGGCACUUCAAGAAAAUAAAUUAAUUGAUGUCAUAUUUUACACAGAUAAUUGUUCUGGACAAAAUAAGAACAGGUUCCUUUUUGCAUUGUACGCUUAUGCCGUUACUAAAUUAAAAAGUAUCAAUAAAAUAACUCAUAAAUAUUUGAUUCGGGGCCAUACACAAAAUGACGCAGAUAAUGUGCAUUCUGUAAUUGAGCAGAAAAGCACUGCUGUAUACGUACCCGAUCAAUAUAUUACCCUUAUAAGAGAAGCAAACAAAAAAGGGCAGCCCUACAAAGUUAUUGAGAAGACUUAGCCCAAAUAACUGGAUUUAAAGAUGUGUUUAAAACUAUUGACGGUGAGAGCGUAAAAACUGCCGAAAUGAAAGUCUUCGAGGUGAGAAAGGAUGAGCCUGGAAGCUUUAUUUUUAAAAUAUCCUAUGAGCAAGAAUCUUUUUCAAAGGUAAACUUUACUUCGCGCAGGAAUUCAACAUAAUUAAAGUAGUUCUUAUCAAGGCUUACAGUGAUAAGAUAGGAAUUCUCGAUUCGAAAAAAAAAGGAAUACUAUCACUAGUGGAAAAAAAUAUAGUUCCCAGUUACUACGGAGAAUUUUAUAAG
Molecule: long non-coding RNA, 3129 nt
Organism: Anthonomus grandis grandis
Lineage: Eukaryota; Metazoa; Arthropoda; Insecta; Coleoptera; Curculionidae
Exons: 6
Source: RefSeq, a predicted model, not a curated record